UUUCAUUAUCAUUUUACAAGCAUUGAUGCAUCUGACAGCUUCCAAAGGCUUGGAAGGUACGUUAAUGAUGCAGCUAUAGACAACCCCAUCUUAUGCAUGUUAUGAGAAGUUAAAAGUGUUUAACAACUACUCCAGGCUUUUUCUUUGCAAGAAGGGAUAUUGAUAGAGGGAAGGAGAUCAGAUAUGACUAUGGAGAUCCCAUGCCCUAUGGACAAUCUUCCUUGGAGUUCAUCACUCAUCAGGAAGCAUUUUGGAGGCAAACCCUGUUGCAGUAUUUCUACAUGUUCCACAGAUAGUACAGACUAGUCAGGACCUUGUAAAUUCACAUGUUCAACAGCUUAGGCAUUUUAGUACAGAGUGGAUUAUUGAGGCAGACCCUGAUGGAAAACUUGCACAUGUUCCACAAACCAGUGAAGACCAUUUUGCAGAAUAUAAACUUUUUCCACAGAUAAGCCAAGACCCUAAUGGUGUUCAUGUGUGUGUGGUUAAUUAUUUGCUCUGAAGCUGAUAUAUGGACUGAAUAUAAAACUGUCUUUUUCUACAGUUAAGUCCAUCUUAAUCUGAAAAUACUACCGGUACAUUUUGAAUUAUGCUUUAUUAUGCAGAAAAAAAAAUAAUUAGUUUCAAAUAUGAAAAGUCUAUUGAUACACUGCUUUGCAAUUCCAAAAGUGAUAAUGUGAUAAGUUUUGAUGUGAAUAUGUGACAUGUGCCAUUAUCAAUUUUCAUAAAUAAAAUCAAAUACAAAGGCCA
Long non-coding RNA from Saccostrea echinata, 750 nucleotides. RefSeq lists it as uncharacterized. The record is from RefSeq and is a predicted model, not a curated record. The transcript is spliced from 3 exons. NCBI's taxonomy places the organism in Eukaryota, Metazoa, Mollusca, Bivalvia, Ostreida, Ostreidae.